GGCAGGAUGGCCGAGCGGUUAAGGCGCUGCACUCAAGAAUUAUUCUUUCCAGAUUAAAAUUUGGUUGACUUGCAGUAUCGAAAGGUGCGUGGGUUCGAGUCCCACUCCUGUCA
Molecule: transfer RNA, 113 nt
Organism: Sporothrix schenckii ATCC 58251
Lineage: Eukaryota; Fungi; Ascomycota; Sordariomycetes; Ophiostomatales; Ophiostomataceae
Rfam family: tRNA
About the family: Transfer RNA (tRNA) molecules are approximately 80 nucleotides in length.
Source: Rfam